AAAGAAGCGCUUUCUUUUUGUCGUCGACAGUGGCGAUGAAGACGAUGGGUUCUCAUAAGUAGAUUUGGUGGGUGGCGAAUCUGCUGGAGGGAAGGCGGAGGGUGAAGAGGAGAUGGGCGCAGAAGAAACACGAGGAAGUGGAGGGAAAGGAGGAGGAGGAGGAGCAGGAGGGGGAGGAGAAAUGGUGUAAUUUUUGCCCAAAGAGU
This 206-nucleotide long non-coding RNA is filed under the name Ananas comosus (pineapple). RNAcentral describes it as "long non-coding RNA (ACOM_LNC029307)". The record is from RNAcentral. Lineage: Eukaryota; Viridiplantae; Streptophyta; Magnoliopsida; Poales; Bromeliaceae.